CUAUACAGCCCUUAUGGACAGCAGCUUAAACCAUACAAGUAACUGUAUAGAUGAUAAAAAGUGCAAGUGGCAAAAGUGCCAGAGUGCAAAAAAUCACUCUUUCACAAACAACACAUUAACACAAAUAACAACAGUAUACUGGUAGAAUAAAGACUGCUGUACCACGAACGCAGGGCUCUUGUAGCUGCUCGACACCUUUCGUCACUUGGACU
Molecule: non-coding RNA, 212 nt
Organism: Pelobates cultripes (western spadefoot toad)
Lineage: Eukaryota; Metazoa; Chordata; Amphibia; Anura; Pelobatidae
Source: the annotation of a GenBank genome assembly